Molecule: ribosomal RNA, 205 nt
Filed under: Escherichia coli
Lineage: Bacteria; Pseudomonadati; Pseudomonadota; Gammaproteobacteria; Enterobacterales; Enterobacteriaceae
Description: partial 23S ribosomal RNA
Rfam family: Bacterial large subunit ribosomal RNA
Source: RNAcentral
GCGAUACAGGGUGACAGCCCCGUACACAAAAAUGCACAUGCUGUGAGCUCGAUGAGUAGGGCGGGACACGUGGUAUCCUGUCUGAAUAUGGGGGGACCAUCCUCCAAGGCUAAAUACUCCUGACUGACCGAUAGUGAACCAGUACCGUGAGGGAAAGGCGAAAAGAACCCCGGCGAGGGGAGUGAAAAAGAACCUGAAACCGUGU